This 1480-nucleotide long non-coding RNA is filed under the name Sorghum bicolor (sorghum). Its description in RNAcentral is "long non-coding RNA (SBIC_LNC009974)". The record is from RNAcentral. Lineage: Eukaryota; Viridiplantae; Streptophyta; Magnoliopsida; Poales; Poaceae.
AUUUAUAUCUAGGUGCGUAGCAAAAGCUAUGAAUCUAGAAAAGGCAAAACGUCUUAUAAUUUGGAAUGGAGGGAGUAACUUGAUUGUCAAGUGAAUGCUGCAGCUGGUUUACCUUUUUCGUUGCUGCUUCGUUGCAUGCUUUUUGGUAGUUAUUAGCCUCUUCCUAUUGAAUUAUUCAAAUCAGUAAAAUGAAGUAAAUGGAAAAUGCAAUUGAGUGGCGAAAUUAACUAUAAUUUUUAUUGGAUUGGCAGCUUUACUCCUUCAGUUUGGUGUAGCCACGAAAUCUCUGGUGCCUAAAUUAUCUCUAGCACAUCACUGAACCACAUAUGUGAACAUGAUGCUGAAGACACUCCAAACUUAGCAAUUUCACGAGCAAAAUAAUUAGAAGUGAAUAAAUAAUAAAACUUAUACAUUUUGAGAAUUUUAGCAACUGAGGUUAUGUUGAGUAAUGCAGGUUGGAGUUGGAUGAUUAAAUAUUUGAGUACUGAAAUCCUGAUAGGAUUUGUUGUUUCGAAAAAGCUGAAUUUUGAAAAGCUCUGUGACUGCUUUUAGAUAAGUCUGAUGGAAUAGAUGACCAUUAUGAAGCACCACUGAAUUGCGAGGUGUAUAGUUUAAUCAUUACUGUCAUCUUCACAUAGCAAGAAGAUGAGGAUCAAACAGCAAAGACAAACUUGCUAGUUACUAGUAGAAAUAGAGCAAGAAAAUGGAGGAGCUCAUCUUGGUACUCCCAUGAUCUAAACUAUGUUUGAGGCUGUAGCAGAGAUGUGACCUCCUCAAUCCAGUGGUGAAUGGAGUGAAGUCAAGAUGGCAAUGGGCACAAACCCACUGGGUUUUACUGCCCCAAACCCAUGCCCAUGAAAACCAAAUGGACCCAUUAUAAAACCCAUGACCCAUCUUCCUGGGAGCCGGAGAGCAACGCCAUGAGCAAAGUGUGGAGCUGGGAGAGUGAGAGCGUGAGACACUAUCUAGAAGAGAAGGAUGUGGAUUCUGGAAUCUGGAGUGCUGUGCGUGUGCGUUGGUGACGGAGACGUGAGUCUGUGAGACCGCGACUUCUCCAUGUGCGGCUCAAGUUUAUGUGCGGGGGCUGGGGGUGGGGAUUGUGUUAGGUUAGGGUUUGAGGUUAGUCUGUAUUUUAUACUGCUGGGACUUGGGCUAGGCUGUAUGGUGGGCUGAGGAACAUACAUGGGCUGGCCUAUUUACUGGAGUGGAGCGGGUAAAAAUAACCCAUGGGUUCUCGGGUUCGGGUACUAUAGGAACAGACCCAUACCCGCCAGACCUGAUGGGUUCGAGUUUUGUCCCAUUAAUAGACCCAUGGGUUUGAAAUUUGACCCAGACCCAUGCCCCAAUAAAGCAAAAACCCAUCGGGUUUCGGGUACCCGUUGCCAUCUCGAGAGUGAAGGGAAGAGAGGAGGCAAUGGGAGCUCCUCAAUCCGCCUGCAUACAGGGAAGAGAAACCAGUGGAUGGAGGGAAGAGAGGUGG